UGUGGCGUUUUGUAGUGGCUGUCAGCAACGUCAUUCUCCUGUAGAAGCGUCUGCAGAAAAUCUGGAAGAACAAGAGAAGCGUGCUGGCGAACAUGGCUUUGAUGCAAAAAUGCAGACCUCUCUUUGCAGCCCUUCAGGUGAAGCACAUCAUGAAGGUGCUGGUCUUCUUGACAAUCACAUGCCAUCUGUUGACAUAUUUCUUGACACAAAUACGAUGCUGGGGCAAAGAAUAGUUCUGUUUUUUGGCAUCUUGGAAAUCAGUCGUCUUUGCGCACAGUUUCGUUUGCA
Molecule: long non-coding RNA, 288 nt
Organism: Corticium candelabrum
Lineage: Eukaryota; Metazoa; Porifera; Homoscleromorpha; Homosclerophorida; Plakinidae
Exons: 3
Source: RefSeq, a predicted model, not a curated record